GCGGGAAUAGCUCAGUUGGUAGAGCAUUAGCUUCCCAAGCUAAGGGUCGCGAGUUCGAGUCUCGUUUNNAGGGACA
Molecule: transfer RNA, 76 nt
Filed under: Bacteroidales bacterium
Lineage: Bacteria; Pseudomonadati; Bacteroidota; Bacteroidia; Bacteroidales
Description: tRNA-Gly
Rfam family: tRNA (bases 6-67)
About the family: Transfer RNA (tRNA) molecules are approximately 80 nucleotides in length. Their secondary structure includes four short double-helical elements and three loops (D, anti-codon, and T loops).
Source: RNAcentral